Molecule: ribosomal RNA, 389 nt
Filed under: Exiguobacterium acetylicum
Lineage: Bacteria; Bacillati; Bacillota; Bacilli; Caryophanales
Description: bacterial SSU rRNA
Rfam family: Bacterial small subunit ribosomal RNA
Source: RNAcentral
UGCAGUCGAGCGCAGGAACUGACGGAACUCUUCGGAGGGAAGGCAGCGGAAUGAGCGGCGGACGGGUGAGUAACACGUAAGGAACCUGCCUCAAGGAUUGGGAUAACUCCGAGAAAUCGGAGCUAAUACCGGAUAGUUCAUCGGACCGCAUGGUCCGUUGAUGAAAGGCGCUUCGGCGUCACCUUGAGAUGGCCUUGCGGUGCAUUAGCUAGUUGGUGGGGUAACGGCCCACCAAGGCGACGAUGCAUAGCCGACCUGAGAGGGUGAUCGGCCACACUGGGACUGAGACACGGCCCAGACUCCUACGGGAGGCAGCAGUAGGGAAUCUUCCACAAUGGACGAAAGUCUGAUGGAGCAACGCCGCGUGAGUGAUGAAGGUUUUCGGAUCG